Molecule: transfer RNA, 63 nt
Filed under: Histeridae sp. BMNH 1274329
Lineage: Eukaryota; Metazoa; Arthropoda; Insecta; Coleoptera; Histeridae
Description: tRNA-Ile
Source: RNAcentral
AAUGGAGUGCCUGAUAAAAGGACUAUUUUGAUAGAGUAGAAUAUGCGCACCACGCCUUCAUUA